This 253-nucleotide ribosomal RNA is filed under the name uncultured bacterium. RNAcentral describes it as "partial 16S ribosomal RNA". It matches the Rfam family "Bacterial small subunit ribosomal RNA", at positions 524 to 776 of the family's 1533-position model. The record is from RNAcentral.
UACGGAGGGUGCAAGCGUUAAUCGGAAUUACUGGGCGUAAAGCGUGCGUAGGCGGCUUUUUAAGCCAGAUGUGAAAGCCCCGAGCUUAACUUGGGAACUGCAUUUGGAACUGGAAGGCUAGAGUUGAGUAGAGGAGAGUGGAAUUUCAGGUGUAGCGGUGAAAUGCGUAGAGAUCUGAAGGAACACCAGUGGCGAAGGCGGCUCUCUGGACUCAAACUGACGCUGAGGUACGAAAGCGUGGGUAGCAAACAGG